GGGCAAAGUAUGGACUGGUGGAGUCGCCGGCACCGGACUGGGUCACUCAUUUCUUCUGUGAAUGGUGUGCCCUUUGUCAAGAGUAUAGAGAGCUUCAAAGAAGAGGCCUGGAUCCUGCCAUUGGUUGGCAGGGAAAUGUUAGAAGGCAAAGCAUGCAACCAUCUCAAGUCGCUAUGAUGCCUCCAAUGGACCAAAAAAUGAUGCCGUGAUUCUAUUCAUACUUUAUUUAUAAAUAUGGAUAUGAUUCUUUCCCAAAAUCGUUCAGAGUCAAAAAAUUAUAUCCAUACAGCAGCAGACCUUAAAUUUUUUUGGUAAAGGCUUAGCUGAGUUGAG
RNAcentral lists this unclassified non-coding RNA (333 nucleotides) under Hevea brasiliensis (rubber tree). Lineage: Eukaryota; Viridiplantae; Streptophyta; Magnoliopsida; Malpighiales; Euphorbiaceae. The record is from RNAcentral.